AUUGAACGCUGGCGGCAUGCCUUACACAUGCAAGUCGAACGGUAACAGGUCUUCGGAUGCUGACGAGUGGCGAACGGGUGAGUAAUACAUCGGAACGUGCCUAGCAGUGGGGGAUAACUACUCGAAAGAGUGGCUAAUACCGCGUGAGAUCUACGGAUGAAAGCAGGGGAUCGCAAGGCCUUGUGCUACUAGAGCGGCCGAUGGCAGAUUAGGUAGUUGGUGGGAUAAAAGCUUACCAAGCCGACGAUCUGUAGCUGGUCUGAGAGGACGAUCAGCCACACUGGGGCUGAGACACGGCCCAGACUCCUACGGGAGGCAGCAGUGGGGAAUUUUGGACAAUGGGCGAAAGCCUGAUCCAGCAAUGCCGCGUGCAGGAUGAAGGCCUUCGGGUUGUAAACUGCUUUUGUACGGAACGAAAAGCCCCGGGUUAAUACCCUGGGGUCAUGACGGUACCGUAAGAAUAAGCACCGGCUAACUACGUGCCAGCCGCCGCAGUAA
Molecule: ribosomal RNA, 498 nt
Filed under: uncultured bacterium
Lineage: Bacteria
Description: partial 16S ribosomal RNA
Rfam family: Bacterial small subunit ribosomal RNA
Source: RNAcentral